CAUAUAGCUUCAAAGAAGACGACGGCAACGACGUCGUGUCCUCCUCGAUUCGCUCUGUUCAAGCUCUCCACCUUCAUUUUCCAUCUAUGGAGAUGAAAAUGGUGGAUACGAUCUACUGAGGGUUUUGCAAACUUUUGAUGCAUCUGAGAGUGAGAUCAAGAAAACUGUUACGAAGCCUCGUCAAAACAGUAAUUUUGUAGAUUCGUAUAACGUACAGACGAAUUUGAUAAUAGUUUUUCGUUGAUUUCUUAAACGAAUUUUGCUUUAAAAUCCCGAUCCGGAUGCAAGUGAGGGAUUAACAUUUCUGGCAUGUUUGUGAUCUAGCAAUUGUUUUGUGUGAAAAUGUUGCAAAAACUGUUUUCAUGAUGAAGUGAUUUUGGUAGGAUUAUCGGGUAAA
Molecule: long non-coding RNA, 397 nt
Organism: Cynara cardunculus var. scolymus (artichoke)
Lineage: Eukaryota; Viridiplantae; Streptophyta; Magnoliopsida; Asterales; Asteraceae
Exons: 2
Source: RefSeq, a predicted model, not a curated record